This 116-nucleotide ribosomal RNA is filed under the name Pseudomonas lijiangensis. Lineage: Bacteria; Pseudomonadati; Pseudomonadota; Gammaproteobacteria; Pseudomonadales; Pseudomonadaceae. The record is from RNAcentral.
CUUGACGACCAUAGAACAUUGGAACCACCUGAUCCCAUCCCGAACUCAGCAGUGAAACGAUGCAUCGCCGAUGGUAGUGUGGGGUUUCCCCAUGUGAGAGUAGGUCAUCGUCAAGA